Molecule: ribosomal RNA, 483 nt
Filed under: uncultured bacterium
Lineage: Bacteria
Description: bacterial SSU rRNA
Rfam family: Bacterial small subunit ribosomal RNA
Source: RNAcentral
AUGAAACACUCCUACGGGAGGCAGCAGUGGGGAAUUUUGGACAAUGGGGGCAACCCUGAUCCAGCAAUGCCGCGUGAGUGAAGAAGGCCCUCGGGUUGUAAAGCUCUUUUGUCAGGGAAGAAACGGAGUUCUCUAAUAUAGGAUUCUAAUGACGGUACCUGAAGAAUAAGCACCGGCUAACUACGUGCCAGCAGCCGCGGUAAUACGUAGGGUGCAAGCGUUAAUCGGAAUUACUGGGCGUAAAGCGUGCGCAGGCGGUUUUGUAAGUCUGAUGUGAAAUCCCCGGGCUCAACCUGGGAACUGCAUUGGAGACUGCAAGGCUAGAGUGUGUCAGAGGGGGGUAGAAUUCCACGUGUAGCAGUGAAAUGCGUAGAGAUGUGGAGGAAUACCGAUGGCGAAGGCAGCCCCCUGGGAUAACACUGACGCUCAUGCACGAAAGCGUGGGGAGCAAACAGGAUUAGAAACCCCUGUAGUCCGAAGUUC